This 178-nucleotide ribosomal RNA is filed under the name uncultured eukaryote. RNAcentral describes it as "partial 18S ribosomal RNA". It matches the Rfam family "Eukaryotic small subunit ribosomal RNA", at positions 1299 to 1458 of the family's 1831-position model. The record is from RNAcentral.
UGGUGGAGUGAUUUGUCUGGUUGAUUCCGUUAACGAACGAGAUCUUGGCCCUUCAAUGACAGUCGGUUCGACAUGUAGUUCAAUGCGAGAUCUCUGGUCUUCACGUUGGAUGAGAACCGAACUUGUACUCAAGGGGACGAUUCAUGUUUACAAUGAAUGGAAGUGCGAGCCAAUAGCA